UAGAGUUUGAUCCUGGCUCAGGAUGAACGCUGGCGGCGUGCCUAAUACAUGCAAGUCGAACGCACAGCGAAAGGUGCUUGCACCUUUCAAGUGAGUGGCGAACGGGUGAGUAACACGUGGAUAACCUACCUCAAGGUUGGGGAUAACAUUUGGAAACAGAUGCUAAUACCGAAUAAAACUUAGUAUCGCAUGAUACCAGGUUAAAAGGCGCUACGGCGUCACCUAGAGAUGGACCCGCGGUGCAUUAGUUAGUUGGUGGGGUGAAGGCUUACCAAGACAAUGAUGCAUAGCCGAGUUGAGAGACUGAUCGGCCACAUUGGGACUGAGACACGGCCCAAACUCCUACGGGAGGCUGCAGUAGGGAAUCUUCCACAAUGGGCGAAAGCCUGAUGGAGCAACGCCGCGUGUGUGAUGAAGGCUUUCGGGUCGUAAAGCACUGUUGUAUGGGAAGAACAGCUAGAGUAGGGAAUGACUUUAGUUUGACGGUACCAUACCAGAAAGGGACGGCUAAAUACGUGCCAGCAGCCGCGGUAAUACGUAUGUCCCGAGCGUUAUCCGGAUUUAUUGGGCGUAAAGCGAGCGCAGACGGUUAAUUAAGUCUGAUGUGAAAGCCCGGAGCUCAACUCCGGAAAGGCAUUGGAAACUGGUUAACUUGAGUGCAGUAGAGGUAAGUGGAACUCCAUGUGUAGCGGUGGAAUGCGUAGGAUAUAUGGAAGAACACCCAGCGGCGAAGGCGGCUUACUGGA
Molecule: ribosomal RNA, 746 nt
Filed under: uncultured bacterium
Lineage: Bacteria
Description: bacterial SSU rRNA
Rfam family: Bacterial small subunit ribosomal RNA
Source: RNAcentral